RNAcentral lists this ribosomal RNA (254 nucleotides) under uncultured bacterium. RNAcentral's name for it is "partial 16S ribosomal RNA". It matches the Rfam family "Bacterial small subunit ribosomal RNA", at positions 524 to 776 of the family's 1533-position model. The record is from RNAcentral.
CACGUAGGGUGCAAGCGUUGUCCGGAAUCAUUGGGCGUAAAGAGCUCGUAGGCGGCUUAGUAAGUCGGGUGUGAAACCUCCAGGCUCAACCUGGAGACGCCACCCGAUACUGCUAUAGCUAGAGUCCAGUAGGGGAGUGCGGAAUUUCCGGUGUAGCGGUGAAAUGCGCAGAUAUCGGAAGGAACACCAGCGGCGAAGGCGGCACUCUGGGCUGGUACUGACGCUCAGGAGCGAAAGCGUGGGUAGCGAACAGG